AGAUUUUUAUUUUUUUAUUUUUGGGAUUCCUAAUGAUAUAUUUCCAAAGUAGGUUAUAACUCGUGGAAACCACGGUUAUAAAAUAAAUUAAAUAUUAAUUAUAAUAAAUUAGGCAACAGAUAUUAUAAAUCAAUUUUUUGCUAACAUGUUUCAUCUGUGUAAAAAAGAAGUAGUGAAUUAGUGGAAAUGUAAUUAAUGAGGAAAAACCGAAGACUGACAAAUGGCAAAUAAUUAAUUUCAAGUUCUAAUUAAUUGACACGUGGCAAAUUUGCUACUCUUUUAUUAGGUAGAGAGAUAUUUAAUGUCACACUUUUCAUAGAAAGUCUAAUUUUAUACACUAAUAAUAUUGUAUAUAUGUUAUAUUAUUAUGUUUAUUUAACUUUUUGCUAAAAUUAAGUAAAAAACAAAUUUUUUUCUCUGACAUUUCAACAUUGUUCAUCGGAUUUCAGACUUAUUUUGAAAUUUCAUAAUUUUUUUCUUUUUCUGAAAUUCAAAAUUUUAGUCUAGAGUCUGGAAUAUCAUUUCAAAAUCAAUAAAAAAAUGUUUUUUCUUAAUCUGAAAUACCCAUUUCGGACCAAAUAGUUAUUUUUGAAGAAACAAAUUAGUUAUGUUGUUCAAAUACACAUUAAAAGUGGUUAAUUUUCCAAAUUUAAAUAUAUAUUUCUUAUGUUUUUUCUAUUAAUUCUUUUUAUUCAUAUAAAAUUAUGACAUGUUGAAAUUCAUUAAAUUUUUUUCUUAAUAUAAUUUCUUGAUUUUGAUUUUUCUCUUGAUGUAAAUAAGAGGGUAAAUUACACCAUUCGUCCCUCGUGGAGGUGCCAGAAAGCACCUUGAGUCCCUAUUUUCAAAAAUUAACUCGGACCGUCCCUCAUUUGGUUAAAAGUUGCACGCUUCGUCCCUAACAAAUGAUUUUGUUGCAGGUGUAGUCCCUAUCUGAUCUGAAAUGACUAUAAUACCCUUUGUGUAUUUAUUUUCCAAUAAAUUUAAUGUUAUUAAUAUUAUUAAUAAUUUAAAAAAGAAAAAAAGCCACCUACCCUACCUUCCCACCGACCUUAUCGUCCAUAUCUCUCUUCCGCUCAUCUCUAACGUCUUCCAAGAACCCAAAACUACCCUCCUUAAACCAUCAUCGACAGUUACUCCCUCCAGCGACAACUCCCUCAGGUGUCUAUUCCUAUCACCGCCCCUAACUUUCGAUUAACCUUAUAUCUACAUCCAUCGACCUCUGAAACCAUUUCCAACAUCGUCAUCACCCCUUGAAAUGUCGAUCGUUACCUGUAAUCCAUCACCACCACCUCUUCGGCUGAAACCCUAGCACCUGAAAACCAUCGUUGUCUUCGUAACAUUGUAAUGGAGAGAGCCAGAGGACCGCCAUCUUUUCACCAAUGUCUCAGAUCUACACCAUCAUCUUACAAAUCGUACCUCUUAGUGUUUCGAGACGGAGCAGAAUGAGAGGGAGGGGAACGACGACAUCUAGCGAAAGAAGAACGAGGUUUGAAUAAAUCGAAUCAACUCUCCUCAUUAAAACAAUUUCUAGUAUUUUUUUUCAAACGAUUUUGGGGGAGAAACCAAAUGGAGUCACAGGUUUCAUUCGCAGGUUUCAUGGCAGUGGUAGGAUAAGGGGUUGAAGAGUUUGAGUCCGACCACGAUCUUCCUCGUGUCCUCUCAUCUUUGUUCUUCGUUUAACUGAUUUGUAGAUCAAGUGUAUGGAUUUGGGUUUGAUUUUAGGGUUUAAUUCCAGUACUUUUUUUUGGAGAUGAAUGGUGAUGUUUGCCGGUGUUGGCUUGUGGCCGGAGGUGACAGGUGGCUGGUGGUUGGAAGUGACUGGUGGUAGGAGGUGGUUAACGAUCGGAGGGGUUGGAACUGAUUUAAAAGGAAAUUUUAUUUUCUAAAAGUUAUAAUUAAAAAAUAGUAGAUAAAUUAUAAACAAAUAAAAAAUAAAUGAAAAAGAAAAAGAAAAGGGCAAGAUAGUCAUUUUAUGUAUGCGAGGGACGAAACAUGCACCUUUUAACGAUACGAGGGACGGUCCGAGUUAAUUUUUGAAAAUAGGGACUAAACGUGCUUUUUGACACAUGCACGAGGGACGAUUGGUGUAAUUUACCCUAAAUAAGAAUAUAAAUAGGAAAAAAAUAAAAUAAAAGAAUAUUUGAUUUUUGUAUAAUUAUCCCUUUUAAAGCAAAUUUUUGCUAUUAUCAAAGAAACUUUUAACUUUAGCCUAUUAAUUCAUUGUAAAAUAACCAAUUUGUUAUUUAUUAUAUAUUUUUUUUAUUAAUUUUGAUAUAUUAUAUAAUUUUAACGAUUAAUAAAAUAUAAUGAGCAAUAACUUUCAAAUAAUAUAUUUUUAAAGUAGGUUAUAACUCGUGGAAACCACGGUUAUAAAAUAAAUUAAAUAUUAAUUGUAAUAAAUUAGGCAACAGAUAUUAUAAAUCAAUUUUUUGCUGACAUGUUUCAUCUGUGUAAAAAAGAAGUAGUGAAUUAGUGGAAAUGUAAUUAAUGAGGAAAAACCGAAGACUGACAAAUGGCAAAUAAUUAAUUUCAAGUUCUAAUUAAUUGACACGUGGCAAAUUUGCUACUCUUUUAUUAGGUAGAGAGAUAUUUAAUGUCACACUUUUCAUAGAAAGUCUAAUUUUAUACACUAAUAAUAUUGUAUAUAUGUUAUAUUAUUAUGUUUAUUUAACUUUUUGCUAAAAUUAAGUAAAAAACAAAUUUUUUUCUCUGACAUUUCA
RNAcentral lists this long non-coding RNA (2720 nucleotides) under Lactuca sativa (garden lettuce). RNAcentral's name for it is "long non-coding RNA (LSAT_LNC003258)". The record is from RNAcentral. Lineage: Eukaryota; Viridiplantae; Streptophyta; Magnoliopsida; Asterales; Asteraceae.